RNAcentral lists this ribosomal RNA (253 nucleotides) under uncultured bacterium. RNAcentral describes it as "partial 16S ribosomal RNA". It matches the Rfam family "Bacterial small subunit ribosomal RNA", at positions 524 to 776 of the family's 1533-position model. The record is from RNAcentral.
UACGUAGGGCGCAAGCGUUGUCCGGAAUUAUUGGGCGUAAAGAGCUCGUAGGCGGCCUGUCGCGUCUGCUGUGAAAUCCCGGGGCUUAACCCCGGGCGUGCAGUGGAUACGGGCUGGCUGGAGGCAGGCAGGGGAGAACGGAAUUCCCGGUGUAGCGGUGAAAUGCGCAGAUAUCGGGAGGAAUACCGGUGGCGAAGGCGGCAUCCUGGACCAACACUGACGCUGAUCCGCGAAAGCUAGGGGAGCAAACGGG